CCUACGGGUGGCUGCAGUAGGGAAUCUUGCGCAAUGGGGGAAACCCUGAAGGAGCAACGCCGCGUGGGGGAUGAAGGUUUUCGGAUUGUAAACUCCUUUUGUUAGAGAAGAUAGUGACGGUAUCUAACAACUAAGCACCGGCUAACUCCGUGCCAGCAGACGCGGAAAUACGGAGGGUGCAAGCGGUACUCGGAAUCACUGGGCGUAAAGAGCGCGGAGGCGGGAUAGCAAGUCAGAUGUGAAAUACUAUGGAUUAACCAUAGAACGGAAUUUGAAACUGUUAUUCUAGAGUAUGGGAGAGGUAGGUGGAAUUCUUGGUGUAGGGGUAAAAUCCGUAGAGAUAAAGAGGAAUACUCAUGGCGAAGGCGACCUGCUAGAACAUAACUGACGCUGAGGCGCGAAAGCGUGGGGAGCAAACAGGAUUAGAUACCCGGGUAGUC
Molecule: ribosomal RNA, 440 nt
Filed under: uncultured bacterium
Lineage: Bacteria
Description: partial 16S ribosomal RNA
Rfam family: Bacterial small subunit ribosomal RNA
Source: RNAcentral